RNAcentral lists this ribosomal RNA (304 nucleotides) under Mycobacterium sp. ITM-2016-00317. Its description in RNAcentral is "bacterial LSU rRNA". It matches the Rfam family "Bacterial large subunit ribosomal RNA", at positions 2320 to 2623 of the family's 2925-position model. Lineage: Bacteria; Bacillati; Actinomycetota; Actinomycetes; Mycobacteriales; Mycobacteriaceae. The record is from RNAcentral.
CCUCAACCUGGACGGCAAUCAGGUGUUGAGUGUAAGUGCACAAGGGAGCUUGACUGCGAGACGGACAUGUCGAGCAGGGACGAAAGUCGGGACUAGUGAUCCGGCACCUCUGAGUGGAAGGGGUGUCGCUCAACGGAUAAAAGGUACCCCGGGGAUAACAGGCUGAUCUUCCCCAAGAGUCCAUAUCGACGGGAUGGUUUGGCACCUCGAUGUCGGCUCGUCGCAUCCUGGGGCUGGAGCAGGUCCCAAGGGUUGGGCUGUUCGCCCAUUAAAGCGGCACGCGAGCUGGGUUUAGAACGUCGUG